Molecule: long non-coding RNA, 1145 nt
Filed under: Phoenix dactylifera (date palm)
Lineage: Eukaryota; Viridiplantae; Streptophyta; Magnoliopsida; Arecales; Arecaceae
Description: long non-coding RNA (PDAC_LNC015542)
Source: RNAcentral
UCAUCUAAAGGGCCAUAUCAAAUAAGAGGAGGCACAGAUCAUGUGAGGAGGUGUAUCAAAUGAUAUGUCCUUUCAUGUGGUGUCAUAUUUUGACCAAGUCAACAUCACAUGCCAAUCACAUGUCCAUUAUGCCUCACCUCUUGAUCUUUCAUGAUAAUGAUCCAAGGGCUCCAAUGCAAGGCGCCAUUCAUUUGACCCAUUAUGUCUUCAUCCAAUGGUGGGAUGAAGAUCCAAUGGUCAAAGGUGAUAGCCCUUGUCUAACCCAAUCUAAUCGAGUUUGAAUCAACUCACCAUUAUAUCUUCAUCCAACGGUAGAUGAAGAUCUAACGGUCAAAAAUGAAUGAUUUAUCAAAUCUAAUCCAAUUAAAAUCAAACCAAGCCAAUUAGGUGUCAACUCUUGGCUAACCCUUAUUAGGAUAUGAUCUAAUCAAAUUAGAUCAAUUAAGAAUCAGAUUCGAAUCCAAUUCGAAUUUAAUUCGAAUCAAGAGCUAAGGUUUGCAACACCUGCUAGGAUGUUUAUCUUGCAAACAUGAUUUAAUCCAAUUAGACCCUUGACCAGUUUUCUUGUGUGUGACCCAUUGGGUUCUAUACUUAGCCAGCAGUAAGUGUGGAUUUAAGUUGACCUAACCUGAUUAGAAUUCUUCUAAUCGAUUUAGGUCCAAACUGCGCAAACUAGAACUUAACAAUUAGAAUCCUUUCUAAUUGGCGAUCGAAUUAAACUCUUUAAUUCGAUCAAACCUACAAGACUAGAUUGACGUCUAGCAACGUGUCAUGUCUACCUGAAAAAUAUGGAAUUUGGUAAAAAUUCCAAAAAUACCCUUCAGUGGCAAGUUACCGUGCAAUUCAAUCCUUCAAUCAAACUGCAUUCCGAAUAUGUAUAUGAGUAUGAAUGGAUGUCAAACUCAAUUUUAUAUUCAUAUUUUUCUUAAUCUUCUAAUGAUAAUUCGAAUCAUGAAAUAUUAGAAACUCUUUCUAAUUUUCAUUCUGCUUUGAUCAAAGGCUUCUUGAAUUAUCAUAUUAUUAGAAUAAAUGGGAUGUGAUCUUCUCUUACUAGAAGUGAUUGAUUCCUUGUUGAUCUACUCAUAAUCUUCGUAUACAAUCCACCAUAUCCAGAAGACCUCGUACACAACUUAUUGUCAUGAAUG